AGCUGAAGCGGGCGAUGAAUGCGGCGAUGGCAGUGGCAAAAAUGAAGCGAUUUGCAGCUGCAGCGCUGUCAAAAAAGAAGACAGAGAACAGCAGCUAAUAUAGAGCAGAUGAGAGAGAAUGGAGUGAAGUGGAGU
Molecule: non-coding RNA, 135 nt
Filed under: Palpitomonas bilix
Lineage: Eukaryota
Source: RNAcentral